GGUUCCAUAGUGCAGUGGUCUAGCACGUCCAGCUAUCAUCUGGAAGACCCGCGUUCGAGUCGCGGUGGAACCA
Molecule: transfer RNA, 73 nt
Filed under: Fulvia fulva CBS 131901
Lineage: Eukaryota; Fungi; Ascomycota; Dothideomycetes; Mycosphaerellales; Mycosphaerellaceae
Description: tRNA-Asp (ATC) (tRNA-Asp-ATC-1-1)
Rfam family: tRNA
About the family: Transfer RNA (tRNA) molecules are approximately 80 nucleotides in length. Their secondary structure includes four short double-helical elements and three loops (D, anti-codon, and T loops).
Source: RNAcentral